AUUGAACGCUGGCGGCAUGCCUUACACAUGCAAGUCGAACGGUAACGGGCCUUCGGGCGCCGACGAGUGGCGAACGGGUGAGUAAUGCAUCGGAACGUACCUUUCAGUGGGGGAUAACGUAGCGAAAGUUACGCUAAUACCGCAUAUUCUGUGAGCAGGAAAGCAGGGGAUCGCAAGACCUUGCGCUGAUUGAGCGGCCGAUGUCAGAUUAGCUAGUUGGUGAGGUAAAGGCUCACCAAGGCGACGAUCUGUAGCGGGUCUGAGAGGAUGAUCCGCCACACUGGAACUGAGACACGGUCCAGACUCCUACGGGAGGCAGCAGUGGGGAAUUUUGGACAAUGGGCGAAAGCCUGAUCCAGCAACGCCGCGUGAGGGAUGACGGCCUUCGGGUUGUAAACCUCUUUCAGUAGGACGAAGCGAAAGUGACGGUACCUACAGAAGAAGGACCGGCCAACUACGUGCCAGCAGCCGCGGUAAAGUACUCUAU
Molecule: ribosomal RNA, 487 nt
Filed under: uncultured bacterium
Lineage: Bacteria
Description: bacterial SSU rRNA
Rfam family: Bacterial small subunit ribosomal RNA
Source: RNAcentral